GGUUGCAAGCGUCUCAUUAUUAACUCAAAUACUCUGGAGGUAAUUGAAAUCAUGAACAACGAAGGACGGAUGGCGAGUACAACGGCGGCAGUGUUUGAUGACUGUUACUUUUUGGCUUAUGAUUUUUCCGUUAUUAGAUUCGAGCACCGUAAUAGAAAAGCCAAUAAGGUUGCCCAUAAACUUGCUAAGUUAGCUAAGUUUUCUUCAACUUUUGACUGGCUUGAGGAGCCUUUGAGUGAAUUGUACCCCUUCUAA
Molecule: ribosomal RNA, 255 nt
Filed under: Triticum aestivum (bread wheat)
Lineage: Eukaryota; Viridiplantae; Streptophyta; Magnoliopsida; Poales; Poaceae
Description: partial small subunit ribosomal RNA
Source: RNAcentral